UCAGUUCAAACCACAACAGAACGAUAAAACAAUAACUCCUCAACAAUGUCCAAAAACAAAAACUCAUAGCUUCAAUGAAAUUGCUGCGAUCAGCACAACACCGAAGGAUACUGUUGCAAUGGAUGCACCUGAACUAUCAACAGAUGCAUCUUCCUUGGACCCUGCAGGAGCUUUUGCUGGAACAUCUUUCUCGGGCUUUGAAGGUGCAGGAGCUGGUGCUGGUGCUGUACCAAAAAGAUCCAACGGCAGAAGGACCUGAUCCACCUGAUACACAACUAACUGGCCAUCGGUGUAUAUAGUGUUUGCCACGGUUGCAGUAUUAACCCCUGUUGUUAUGUUCACUUGAUUCCCCGAUGUUGUCACAUUGAGCGGGAACUCGCCAUCAGCACUAUUUCCGGCUUGAGUGCGCAAGGGAUUGCUGACAGUUUGGAAGUUUGACAUGGAAAGGAAAUUUGGAAGGAUGUGAAAUUGCACCAAUUGGACCUUUUGUUGGUCGCUGAGCGAAUUCAGUGUACCUGCUUUGAGGUUAGCAAAGGAAUUAUCAGUUGGUGCAAAGACUGUUAGGCCUUGGUUUGAAUUGUUGAGUUGUGUGUUGAUU
This 598-nucleotide long non-coding RNA is filed under the name Populus trichocarpa (black cottonwood). RNAcentral's name for it is "long non-coding RNA (PTRI_LNC003662)". The record is from RNAcentral. Lineage: Eukaryota; Viridiplantae; Streptophyta; Magnoliopsida; Malpighiales; Salicaceae.